UUGCCUACGGGUGGCAGCAGUGGGGAAUCUUGCACAAUGGGGGAAACCCUGGUGCAGCGACGCCGCGUGAACGAUGAAGCCCUUCGGGGUGUAAAGUUCUUUCGACAGGAACGAUAAUGACGGUACCUGAAGAAGAAGCUGCGGCUAACUACGUGCCAGCAGCCGCGGUAAUACGUAGGCAGCAAGCGUUGUUCGGAAUUACUGGGCGUAAAGAGUGUGUAGGUGGUUGGCUAAGUUUGGUGUGAAAUCUCCCGGCUCAACUGGGAGGGUGCGCCGAAAACUGGCUGACUAGAGUGUGGGAGAGGGACGUGGAAUUCCUGGUGUAGCGGUGAAAUGCGUAGAUAUCAGGAGGAACACCUGCGGUGUAGACGGCGUCCUGGACCAUUACUGACACUAAAGCACGAAAGCGUGGGGAGCAAACAGGAUUAGAUACCCCGGUAGUC
This 443-nucleotide ribosomal RNA is filed under the name uncultured Bryobacterales bacterium. Its description in RNAcentral is "bacterial SSU rRNA". It matches the Rfam family "Bacterial small subunit ribosomal RNA", at positions 335 to 795 of the family's 1533-position model. The record is from RNAcentral. Lineage: Bacteria; Pseudomonadati; Acidobacteriota; Terriglobia; Bryobacterales.